This is a long non-coding RNA of Strongylocentrotus purpuratus (purple sea urchin), 559 nucleotides long. RefSeq lists it as uncharacterized. The transcript has 4 exons. NCBI's taxonomy places the organism in Eukaryota, Metazoa, Echinodermata, Echinoidea, Camarodonta, Strongylocentrotidae. The record is from RefSeq and is a predicted model, not a curated record.
UUUUCGUACCACGGCGAGGCCGGAUUCCUGUUUUAUCAUGAAUAUUCAUUAGGCAGGGUCGGGGAAAGUCUCGAUUCUCUUAAAUAUUCAUAUCGAGGUGGGAAUGCACGACGCGCGCUAUACUCGCACAAAGUGAGAAGAUUUAGUUCACGGAGAAUGCAUAUGGAUUGAAACUGAAGAGCUGGAAGGAGGACAUUACAACAUCUCUUAUAUUUGCAAGAUAAAGCAGAAAGUCCCAUGCAGGAUGAUGCCUCUCUACAGUGGAUGAUGAAGGCAUUCUGGUUUGCAAACUCAGGAGAGGAACAAAGAACAGAUGUUGACGGGAUCAUAUCUAGAGAUGCGGGCCUACUACACUUCAUACGAGCAAGUGUGCUAAUAUACAUGAAGACUUGGGUUAUAUUUUUUUCUGAAAACUAGGCUACAACUUUAGUGAUGGAUGCAGAAGAUAUCUACACGAGACUACGUCUUAAAGAUGCCACCCUCAUAUAAUGAAAGAGGACAAUAGAGAUGGGUUUAAACUGGAAUAUUUACAUGAUAUUUAUUUGUUAUUUGUAUUAUA